Molecule: long non-coding RNA, 1853 nt
Organism: Sycon ciliatum
Lineage: Eukaryota; Metazoa; Porifera; Calcarea; Leucosolenida; Sycettidae
Exons: 4
Source: RefSeq, a predicted model, not a curated record
GAACAUAUUUUACUGUUUUAGCUCUCUUGGACAUGCAAGGAGAUAGAUAUCUAGAUAACUAAAUAGUUUUGGCUUGAAUGAGGACUCCCAGGCAAGGCAUGUCAUUCCUAAUUCGUAGCCGUGCUGCUCGGAGUCUACCCUGGAGGAACGACACUGCUCGACCUUUAUUCACGACGGCCAUCACAAGGCACAGUGGUGGAAUAUUGACCAGCAGCUAUACAGACAAUCCACGCGCCAACAGCUCUGCGUCUCCACAUACCGGUAGUACUGAACGACGUGAUGCUUCUAGAGUAGCUUGCUUCGUGUGCGGGACUGUGGGCCACUCGCCUGGGAAGUGCCCAUCCUUACCGCCCGGUUCUCCCUCUAAGUAUGGAAUAAAUUUCAUGGAUAUAGUAUGUCUCAAGUGUCUACUGCCUGGCCAUACGGUUUCACAGUGUUCAAACCCAGCUCAUCCCCAGACAUUGUUGAUGUGCCCUCGGUGUGGCCAGCCGGGACAUACAAAAAAGGAGUGUUCGGAGCCGAAGAAACCCCGCAAGAAAUCUUUUGAAAUCGAAGAGGUGGAGUGAGCUGACAUGCCUUUCUAUUGCUGACUACAGGCAAGAUUGGGACAGUUGUCAUAUGAAGACAUCAGAAGCACUGUGCAAUCCUGUGCUCAGUCCACAAUGACUUGCCAGGGAAGGCAACGGUGGCAUUGUGCAUGCCUGUGGUGUCGCCAACGCGGAGUCUGCUUCUUGCUGUGGCGCGGCUUUGUGCAGCAAUGGCGGGAGUGCCCCGUCCGUGUGAUGUCUACCUUUGGAGGUUGCUAUCCUCCAAGUAGUAACUGGUAAGCCAUACUGGACAUUCACAAUUAGCCUUGUUCUCGGACACUGUACUGUGGCUGGUGGCUGCGGAGCGUUUACAAAGGAACACACGCUGAUGUUGCGAGGUAUGGUAGCGCUGGCCUGCACCGCCGUGCCGAAGCUCUACUGGCUUUUGAGUAGCCUUGCUUCACUGGCAAGCUGCCAUGCUCUGCUGGUCCACAGUCACAAGCGGGCAGUUGGCGAUGUGGAUUCCUGCACCCGCCAUCAGCAGCCUGGUGUUGCUACCACUAGUACCAGCUGCAAGCAGACGUGGUGGUGUUUGGAUGAGUUUUUUUCUAUUCUUUUUUGUUUUUGUUUUGUUUUGUUUGUGCAAUGUUAUCGCAUGAACUGCUUGUCAAUUAACUAGUGGUGUCUGUGGACAUUAUCGUGCAGCUUGUAGUUCCUUGGUCCUUUUCUUUACUAUAAAAUAAUACUUGGCUCUCCAUCAGAGUCUUUUUUUCUUUUUUUCUUUUUUUAUAAGGGCCACAAACCAUCAUGGUGAAAACAUGCUGUAGCUGGUAUGAACUAGCAGAUUGUGUGCCGGCAUCCGAACAUGCAGUCCUGCAGUCAUGCGGUCACUUGUGCCGACAUCUGCAUGCACAGCACUGCGUAUCAUUCCUGACUAGUACGGUCUGUGCUUGCGUUGGUGCGGCACUACAUAUGAAUGGCACUCUGUGCCCUGGAUUCUCUCUCUGCCGACGGAAGUCCCGCUGGCCAACUAACAGUUAUCACCAUUGUGUGCAUGGCUUGGCAGCUGGCUGUGCGAUAUGAGCAGACACUUUUGCCGGCUCCCCAGCUGUUGUGAUCAGCGACUGCUGAGAGCCAUCCCUAAUACUGUACUCUCACGGUAUGGAUGUCCAUAUCCAUGGCUGGAGAGAGUCCUCUAUACGCCAUGUGCGGCUGGUCUGCACAUGGUAUGCUGGUUGGCGUAACAAACACGAGCUGCGCGUGUGAAGCAUUGAGAAAAGUGUUUGUUUUCCUCAAGCUCUGCAGAAGAUGCUGUGUAGUGCGUCU